Lolium perenne is the source of this 3476-nucleotide non-coding RNA. The record is from RefSeq and is a predicted model, not a curated record. NCBI's taxonomy places the organism in Eukaryota, Viridiplantae, Streptophyta, Magnoliopsida, Poales, Poaceae.
CCGCCGCAUCCUCAUUUCCAAUCUCCCGCUUCCGCAGCACCUCGCCCUCGCCUCCUCCUCCUCCGCCCAAACCCUAGCUCCCCGUCUCACACCCACCGCCGCCCGCCCAAACCUGCUCUGCGGCAUUUCCACGAGCACCUCGCGCGCCGCUCUCCUUCUCCUCGCGCCCCGCCCUUGCUCGCGAUGGCCAACACCAUCCGCAAGCUGGCCCUGGAGGCGCUAGAGAUCCACAACGCGGGCCACCACGACCUCGCGCUCGCCUGCGCCAACGAGCUCGCCGCCGCCAACCCGCGCUCCGCGCUCGCUCUCAACCUCGCCGGCACCCUCCACGUCCGCGCCUCGGCCGUUCCCUGGAACGAAAUGGCCACCGCCGUAUCCGCGUCCUUGUCCGCGUCGGACCACUACCGCGCCGCCCUCGCCGCCUUCUCCGCCGCCGCCCGGAACGCGCCCAACUGCGCCACGACCGCCGUCGCCCACGCCGAGGCGCUCGCCGCCAACCGCCGCCUCUCCGACGCGCAGGCGGAGCUGUUCCGCGUCUUCAACCCCGGCACCAUCCACGCCGACCCGGCGGACCACCUCGUCGAGGUCGGCGGCGGCCACAACCCCAGGGCGAGGACGCGCGACGCGCUGGGCAAGGCCGGCGCCGCCCUGUUCGAAGUAACGGCCAUCAUCGACAACAUAAUCGUGCCCCGAGAGGCCGGGGAGCUGCUCUUGCUUGGCGGGGACGCCCCCGCUGCCGAUCAAGUGCGAGCGCGCGCGAAGCGUCUCGCCGAGCGGUUCCCGUACUCGGCGCGCGCCCGCUUGCUCCGCGUCUACCUUGAACUGGAAGGAGUCCCCGCCCUCGACCUCGCGGCCGACAGGAGGCGGCUCCUGCGCCGCGCUCUCGCCCAGGCCUCUGAAGCGGCGGCUCACUUCGCCGACUCCAUCCUCAUCGCCCUGUUCCACGCCAAGGUACUGUUCGCCCUGGACGAGUUUGAUGGGUCGGAGAGGGAGUGCCGCCGAGCGCUUUGCAUCCAGGAGCCGACUGACCCCAAUUCGGAGGACAUACCUCCUGCUGUGUCUGUUCCUGGCGCGGACUGCGAUGCCAGAGUAUCUUCUGUCAGGAAGCAGCUCCGCGUCUUGCUCAAGCAGAUCGUGGUUGCGGCUGCCGUAUGCUGGUGCUCUAUCAAAGCCACGCAACACCCCGACAGGGCCAGAUCAGGGAGGGUUGACAGGGUCUUAUCAGUGAGGGUUGACACGCUGCAGGGGCACUACGAUAGAGUCGACAAGUCGGCAGCCAAGACCAUAUCUGAUGCACUGCGCUUUCGCAAGCAGCAGGGUUCAUGGAGUUUCUUGGUUUGCCCCAAUCACCGCUGCGAUGGCAAGAAGUUUGUGGACACGCAGUCGCUCUGGCAACACAUGAGCAGCAAGCACCGAGACGAGCUCUGGAAGAAGCUGCAGUCAGUUUUAGGUCCAGAUCUCUAUGAAGAUACACCAAAGCAUGAUCACUUGUUGGAUGGGAUAACUCUCAGUCAGGAUUCAGAGCAGCAUGACAUCUUCCACUUACCAAGGGUGCAAGAUAUUUUUGAAUCCUUGCUCCUCUCACCAUCUAUUGGGAUCCAAGCAGAACCCCUUGCUGAAAUGCGACAGAGGAAAUCCAGAGAAGGAGCCAAGAUCCUUGAGAACAUUAAGGAGGAGCUGAGGAUGUUGCCUGAAGAUAGCACUGAGUUUGAGGAGUUUCGUUUUGCAAUCCAGAACUUGUGGCUUGAGUUCCUCGAAACUUCUGCUCUCGAUUAUCGUGAAAUCAUCCUCCCACUUGCGAGAUCGUUCCAAUGGAUACAAAUGAAAACAGUGAUUGAUCUUUCUGCAAAGGAUCUUGGUACGAUUAUUGGUUGUGCCAGUAUCGACAUUGUAUUCGGCAAAGUUCCCGUUGCCCCUGGCAGGAUUGUUUCUGUGGAACAUGGCUCAGAGCCGUCACACGCCAACAAUACUGACCAUCAAAGUGGUGACGACACACAGACAGAAAACAUACAGCCAUCAUGCUCAGACGAGACACUUAAGGAUGGUGAAAAACCUGAAGAAAGUGAGGUUCGUAUUGUAGAUAGCAAUUCUGAGACCACGGUAGACCAAAGAUCUUCGGAUCCAAGACUUGACGUUCAUGAAAGCGGGCUGAACUGUGCUGCAAGAAUUGCAGAGGUGGAACUAGAAAACAAAGAUAAUAUAGGAACUUCUGGCCAAUCUGUCAAGGAAAUGGCAAGCACCUCCAGCUGUCAACGAAGUCUUAAUGCUUUCAACAAGAACAAUGCUGAUAAAGGCCUGUCUAUCUUGAGUCUAAUCAUACGGUCAUUGUGCAAUCUGAGGCAUUUCAGAGAUAAGUUUCUAACUGAGCCACUUGCAUGGAUCCCGUCUGCUGAGAAUAUCUGUAUUGCUCAGCAAUUAUAUGAAAUUUUCAUAUCUUGGGAGAAAAAUGACUACCACUUAGAGGAUGUUGUUCUGACUUACAUGAAGACCCUUCUCUGCAGAGUAGAUUGCACCCUUUUUUCUGAAAAGUUGCAGGUUGGGACAAAUUUUUCAUCUGAGAUUGUGGCCACAAUUCUCAUUGGAUUGCAUAUGUCAGAAACUUGUUCACGUUUUAGUUUAAGAAAGGAGACCGAGAAACAUGUGGUGAACCCAAUCACGUGUGGAGAUUGCAUAUGCCCAACACAUAGUCUUUUUGGGAUAACAUUUAAUGUGCAAAUGAGUUGCAAUUGUGGGGAGUGUUCUGGUGAAUACCCAUAUAGUGCACUUUUCCAUAUACUUGAUGCUGGUUCACUUCAAACAACAAAGAUCAAGUCCUUUGCAGAGCUUCCGGUUCUAUUGGAUGAACAGUUCUAUAAGGAGAACAGCUGCGAGCAUUGUGGAAUUCCGCAGAAGAUUGAUCUAUUUCUUUCAAACGCACCACACUUCUUUACAAUAGUUUUGAAGUGGCUUGGUAACAGUGAAAGCCCGGACACACUCUCUGAAGUCCUGGCCGACAUCACAUCCCCCCUUGACAUUGAAUUCUUUUGCAAAAGUGCUCAUUCUGGAACUAUGUAUAGUGUCACCUCCAUGAAAAUGGUCUCAUCGAAUCACAUGGGGUGGUUGCACAACAUUCCUGCAAAUCAUAUCUAAAUAUCUGAUAGGAGUGGCUGGAUUAACCUUUUACUGCUGUCACUCUCCUGCUGCUUUCAGUUUUACUUCAGGCCUAUGCAAGGUUUGUUUGAUGCACUAGUUACCUAAUUUUCUUGCUUAUUAUUCUGCAACAUUCUUUGCAAAUACGAUGCAAGUUAGCAUUCAUCUUAUGUCACCUUGAAAUCCAAACUCUUACAGAUUUGCUAUGUUGAUGAGCGCUAUGUCUGCUUUGCUCGCGACAAGGACAGGUGGCUCAUACAUGAAUUUGAGACUGUCGAGACAGAAGAUACUUGGGAGCAUUUGCUAGAACGUUUCAGGGACUGCAAGCUCCAGCCUGAAGUUUUAUU